CAAUCUGCUCCUCAGCACAGCACGGUGGCUGGCCGGCCCCCCGUAGGAAGGCUUGGGGUUAAAAUCGACUUAGGAUGCCGCCCUUAUGUAAGUGACCAGCUCCCAGCUUGGGUCCCAGCUCCUCUGGGCUACUGCUGAGAGACCCCCUCUGCUAAGGGAUCUGUCUCUGAGGCAGGAGCUAACACAUUUGGCUUCCAACCUUUGGCUAAUGUUGACGAUUUUUAGGUUGUCUUGAGGCAACAGGUUGAACAUAGUUUCUGAAAUGAAAAAUCUAGUGUUUAUUAAGGCUAGGGCAGCUGAGGGCUGAGCCUGCAUCUGGAGCCUUGAGAUGUUCCGCUUGCACGUCACCCUCGCCGAGGGAUUGGGCGGGAGAGUCGGUCACCGAGUGAACUUCAAAGUUGGCGCUCUGCAUGUGACGUGUAGCGUGGGAAGAUUAAGUCAGCUUAAAAUGAGAGAACAAGAUUCCAAGGAAGAAAACCUCCCCAGAACCUUACUCGUUUAUAGAUAAAAGAAGAUAAAUAUUGAGAAAAUUAAAAAAAUAAAACGAAAUAGUUGGGCUGCAAACCAGCAGCUCUGGGACCAGAUGCAGCCCUGGUGAAGGCAUCCCCCACCAGGUUCUGUUUGGCCUGCUCAGGAUUGUUUUUUUGUGUUGAGAUAACUGUGGGUGGGGUCCACACUCUCCGGAUCUCAGGCCCUGCCACACCCUAAUGCCACAAAGCUUGGAGAGUGCGAUUACAGCGAGGCUCAGAAGCCAGGCUGAGGGCCUGCCAGCCUCGUGGGGCUGCUGUGUGGUCCCCAUGGGUUAGCAUCUGCCCGGCCGCCGGAACAGGGCCUGGAUGGAGAAGGAACUCCAUCAGCACUAACUCUGCUAGACUCUCUUAUUAAUCUGCCCUCUGAAGGCAUUUGGGCUUGUGGCCCUUGAGUUAGUUCCAUGGCUUUUUCAAGAAAGAUCCUGCAGUUCCAAUGUGAGCAGCAGUUGUUUCCAAGGCUAACAAUUUCACGCCAACUAGAAGCCUCCACAAGUCAGGUGCCAGGCAUUUCUAAGCCAGUAGAGCAGCUCCGCUUGUUUCUCUGGAAUUUGGGCAGUUGUCUGGACAUUAGGAGUUGAGUCACCUCCUACCCAUGAGGAACAAGCCUGUGGGGGGACUGAUAUUAUCACUUCUGUCAUCAAGAAAUAAGGCCGCAGGCAUCCCUGAAUAUAGAGCAUUUAUUAAUCGAACUGUGAAAAUGAAACACAGACAGUGAUGACAGCUGGAAGUUGGCCAAUGUCCUGUUGUCAUAUUGCCCUCAGCCUAGGGACUGGCCUGUGGCUCACUGACCCUGUCUCCCACUCUCCACCUCUCAUCAGCAACUGGACCUGGUGCACCUGGUCUACCUCAUGUCCAGUGUUUUCCGCAGUACCUGACUGGUAUCCCCACCCUUGGUUGUUGUGUGGAAAACCUGGAGUUCUAGUUAUCAUCAUCAUCAUCAUCAUCAUCACUGUCAUCAUCAUUGACAUCAUCACAAUAAGAACUCCCAUUGUAUUCAGCCCUAACCGUAUGGUAGCAACUUUAUGGUAUUCCCUUUAACCUCCCCCCACCCCAAUAUCCAUCCUGGAAGAUGGGAAGGAUGAUAGGUUUGUUGACUCACUCAAGGCGGUGGGACUCUCCAGCAGAUACGGUGGCCAAUGAAAGAUAUAGGCUGAAAGAUCUCCAUUCCAGCAAUGAUCUCUCUCCUCCAACUCUGGCAUUGGAGGAGUACCACAAUCCUGCCUCCACAUUUCAUUUGCUGACACCCAGGGGCAGCAUUAGGUGUAGAGUGCUGGACAUCUAAGGGAAGAGGUUCAAUUGUCCAUCUGUUUAGUUAUUUACUCAUUAUUCAAUGAAUGUUAAUUGAGACCAGUCAGGGCAGCUGAGAAGCAGUGCGGUUUGUGUGUCACCUGCUCUGUGUUCACCCACUGGGUUCAUCAGAGGGGCACUUGAACAAAACAGGAAUGUCACUGGAGAGGGGAACAAAUGCUGUCCCCAAGUCCUUCCCUGCCGUUUAGAGUAACGCAGCCCCUGUCCGCACAUCCUCACCCCCAUCUGCCCUCUGCUUGCCAGAAUUAUCAGAAUCUCUCAAUUCUAAUUUCAGCCAUUCUCUGUGAAAAUGAAAAGGCCUCUGUGUGUGAUGGGUUGACUUGUGUGUCCCAAAAUUCACAUGUGGACGUCCUCGCCCCUGGCAGCUCAGACG
RNAcentral lists this long non-coding RNA (2211 nucleotides) under Homo sapiens (human). RNAcentral describes it as "HSALNT0304116". Lineage: Eukaryota; Metazoa; Chordata; Mammalia; Primates; Hominidae. The record is from RNAcentral.